Molecule: ribosomal RNA, 459 nt
Filed under: uncultured bacterium
Lineage: Bacteria
Description: partial 16S ribosomal RNA
Rfam family: Bacterial small subunit ribosomal RNA
Source: RNAcentral
CCUACGGGUGGCAGCAGUGAGGAAUAUUGGUCAAUGGUCGGGAGACUGAACCAGCCAAGCCGCGUGAGGGAUGAAGGUACAGAGUAUCGUAAACCUCUUUUGUCAGGGAACAAAGGCGGGGACGUGUCCCCGGAUGAGUGUACCUGAAGAAAAAGCAUCGGCUAACUCGGUGCCAGCAGCCGCGGUAAUACGGAGGCUGCGAGCGUUAUCCGGAUGUAUGGGGUUUAAAGGGUGCGAAGGCGGUCUGUUAGGCAAGCGGUAAAAGCCCGGGGCUCAACCCCGGCCCGCCGUUGAAACUGGCAGUCUCGAGUUGGAGAGAAGUAUGCGGAAUGCGCGGUGUAGCGGUGAAAUGCAUAGAUAUCGCGCAGAACUCCGAUUGCGAAGGCAGCAUGCCGGCUCCACACUGACGCUGAGGCACGAAAGCGUGGGUAUCGAACAGGAUUAGAUACCCGUGUAGUC